This 713-nucleotide ribosomal RNA is filed under the name Pseudomonas sp. SMCC G884. RNAcentral's name for it is "bacterial SSU rRNA". It matches the Rfam family "Bacterial small subunit ribosomal RNA", at positions 35 to 743 of the family's 1533-position model. The record is from RNAcentral. Lineage: Bacteria; Pseudomonadati; Pseudomonadota; Gammaproteobacteria; Pseudomonadales; Pseudomonadaceae.
GCUGGCGGCAGGCCUAACACAUGCAAGUCGAGCGGAUGAAAGGAGCUUGCUCCUGGAUUCAGCGGCGGACGGGUGAGUAAUGCCUAGGAAUCUGCCUGGUAGUGGGGGACAACGUUUCGAAAGGAACGCUAAUACCGCAUACGUCCUACGGGAGAAAGCAGGGGACCUUCGGGCCUUGCGCUAUCAGAUGAGCCUAGGUCGGAUUAGCUAGUUGGUGAGGUAAUGGCUCACCAAGGCGACGAUCCGUAACUGGUCUGAGAGGAUGAUCAGUCACACUGGAACUGAGACACGGUCCAGACUCCUACGGGAGGCAGCAGUGGGGAAUAUUGGACAAUGGGCGAAAGCCUGAUCCAGCCAUGCCGCGUGUGUGAAGAAGGUCUUCGGAUUGUAAAGCACUUUAAGUUGGGAGGAAGGGUUGUAGAUUAAUACUCUGCAAUUUUGACGUUACCGACAGAAUAAGCACCGGCUAACUCUGUGCCAGCAGCCGCGGUAAUACAGAGGGUGCAAGCGUUAAUCGGAAUUACUGGGCGUAAAGCGCGCGUAGGUGGUUUGUUAAGUUGGAUGUGAAAUCCCCGGGCUCAACCUGGGAACUGCAUCCAAAACUGGCAAGCUAGAGUAUGGUAGAGGGUGGUGGAAUUUCCUGUGUAGCGGUGAAAUGCGUAGAUAUAGGAAGGAACACCAGUGGCGAAGGCGACCACCUGGACUGAUACUGA